AGAGUUUGAUCCUGGCUCAGAGCGAACGCUGGCGGCAGGCCUAAUACAUGCAAGUCGAGCGGUCCCUUCGGGGGCAGCGGCGGACGGGUGAGUAACGCGUGGGAACGUGCCCUUUGGUACGGAACAACUGAGGGAAACUUCAGCUAAUACCGUAUGUGCCCUUCGGGGGAAAGAUUUAUCGCCAUUGGAGCGGCCCGCGUUAGAUUAGCUAGUUGGUAGGGUAAUGGCCUACCAAGGCGACGAUCUAUAGCUGGUCUGAGAGGAUGAUCAGCCACACUGGGACUGAGACACGGCCCAGACUCCUACGGGAGGCAGCAGUAGGGAAUCUUGCGCAAUGGGCGAAAGCCUGACGCAGCCAUGCCGCGUGAAUGAUGAAGGUCUUAGGAUUGUAAAAUUCUUUCACCGGGGACGAUAAUGACGGUACCCGGAGAAGAAGCCCCGGCUAACUUCGUGCCAGCAGCCGCGGUAAUACGAAGGGGGCCAGCGUUGCUCGGAAUUACUGGGCGUAAAGGGCGCGUAGGCGGACAGUUAAGUCAGAGGUGAAAGCCCAGGGCUCAACCUUGGAAUUGCCUUUGAUACUGGCUGUCUUGAGUACGGGAGAGGUGAGUGGAACUCCGAGUGUAGAGGUGAAAUUCGUAGAUAUUCGGAAGAACACCAGUGGCGAAGGCGACUCACUGGCCCGUUACUGACGCUGAGGCGCGAAAGCGCGGGGAGCAAACAGGAUUAGAUACCCUGGUAGUCCAA
Molecule: ribosomal RNA, 744 nt
Filed under: uncultured bacterium
Lineage: Bacteria
Description: bacterial SSU rRNA
Rfam family: Bacterial small subunit ribosomal RNA
Source: RNAcentral